AGUCAUUCUGCCCAUUGUUUUUAAAAGGCUGCAGUAUAUUAACUGUACAAAGGUAGCAAAAUAAAUAGUUUUUUAAUUGGAAACUAGAAUGAAAGAAUUAAUAAAAUAUAAAUUGUUUCAAGUAUUAAAUUUAAAUUAAAAGUUAAAAUGCUUUUAUAUAUUUAUUAGACGAUAAGACCCUAAGAAUUUAAUUAUUGAAUUUAUUUUAAAAGUUUAUUAUAAUUUUAAUAAUUUUAUUGGGAGGAUAAUAAAAUAAAACUUUUAUUUAUUAAAAUAUUUAUAAAUAAAUUUAAUGAUUAUUUUUAAGAUUAUUAGAGUAAAUUACCUUAGGGAUAACAGCGUUAUAAUUUUGGAGAGUUCAUAUUGAUAAAAUUGUUUGCGACCUCGAUGUUGAAUUAAAAUGAAAUUUAAAUGAAGAAGUUUAAAGUUUUAGUCUGUUCGACUAUUAAAAUUUUAC
This 457-nucleotide ribosomal RNA is filed under the name Polybia rejecta. RNAcentral describes it as "partial large subunit ribosomal RNA". The stretch from base 332 to 457 matches the Rfam family "Bacterial large subunit ribosomal RNA", at positions 2473 to 2599 of the family's 2925-position model. RNAcentral also lists the same sequence under 1 other name. Lineage: Eukaryota; Metazoa; Arthropoda; Insecta; Hymenoptera; Vespidae. The record is from RNAcentral.